GUGGAUCCACUAAGAUCCAUAUUUAGUUUGAAUGUAUUGAGUUAAUUUCUAAUUUCAUAGCAUUCAACCAUUUCUUGAAGUCAAUGUCAGACAUCGCCUCGUCAUAGGUUUUAGGAUCAUUUCUAUGAUCCUUAUCUCCUACGAGGAACAUUUUUUGUAUAUCUUCUAUAAGCAUACCCAAGUAUCUAUUAGAAGAAUGGG
Molecule: long non-coding RNA, 201 nt
Filed under: Elaeis guineensis (African oil palm)
Lineage: Eukaryota; Viridiplantae; Streptophyta; Magnoliopsida; Arecales; Arecaceae
Description: long non-coding RNA (EGUI_LNC060901)
Source: RNAcentral